Vicia faba (fava bean) is the source of this 342-nucleotide non-coding RNA. NCBI's taxonomy places the organism in Eukaryota, Viridiplantae, Streptophyta, Magnoliopsida, Fabales, Fabaceae. The record is from the annotation of a GenBank genome assembly.
AUGUUAUAUCGCGGUAGAGACAGAGGCGCGGUUGGUCGCAGAUCUGAUGCCGGAAUCUCGCAGUGGCUGAAGUUGUUCGGAAGUUACUGGUAUCGAAUGUCUCUAUUUCGACCUUCUCCUUCUUCCAUUCUUCCUGUAAAACAAAUAAACACGAGCAGAUGGAGGUUGUGUGCAGAUUCUGGCAGUCUAGCCUUGCGAGACAACGGAAAGAAAGUGACGGCGUCAUAUGGACUCAUGGCAUGGACAUCGAUCGGAGAAACACGGAGAUUCGACGGGGAGUAUGGCUGUGAAUGGAGGUUGUGGAGUCUGUUUGUCUUUUUUCCUGGAUUUUCUUGGUUUUGA